UACGUAGGGUGCGAGCGUUGUCCGGAAUUAUUGGGCGUAAAGGGCUCGUAGGCGGUCUGUCGCGUCGGGAGUGAAAACUCAGGGCUUAACCCUGAGCCUGCUUCCGAUACGGGCAGACUAGAGGUAUGCAGGGGAGAACGGAAUUCCUGGUGUAGCGGUGAAAUGCGCAGAUAUCAGGAGGAACACCGAUGGCGAAGGCAGGUCACUGGGCCGCAACUGACGCUGAGGAGCGAAAGCUAGGGAGCAAACGGG
RNAcentral lists this ribosomal RNA (252 nucleotides) under uncultured bacterium. RNAcentral's name for it is "partial 16S ribosomal RNA". It matches the Rfam family "Bacterial small subunit ribosomal RNA", at positions 524 to 776 of the family's 1533-position model. The record is from RNAcentral.